Molecule: ribosomal RNA, 429 nt
Filed under: Acidobacteriota bacterium
Lineage: Bacteria; Pseudomonadati; Acidobacteriota
Description: Acidobacteria bacterium partial 16S ribosomal RNA
Rfam family: Bacterial small subunit ribosomal RNA
Source: RNAcentral
UGGGGAAUUUUGGACAAUGGGGGAAACCCUGAUCCAGCCAUCCCGCGUGUGCGAUGAAGGCCUUCGGGUUGUAAAGCACUUUUGGCAGGAAAGAAACGUCAUGGGUUAAUACCCCGUGAAACUGACGGUACCUGCAGAAUAAGCACCGGCUAACUACGUGCCAGCAGCCGCGGUAAUACGUAGGGUGCAAGCGUUAAUCGGAAUUACUGGGCGUAAAGCGUGCGCAGGCGGUUCGGAAAGAAAGAUGUGAAAUCCCAUAGCUCAACUUUGGAACUGCAUUUUUAACUACCGGGCUAGAGUGUGUCAGAGGCAGGUGGAAUUCCGCGUGUAGCAGUGAAAUGCGUAGAUAUGCGGAGGAACACCGAUGGCGAAGGCAGCCUCCUGGGAUAACACUGACGCUCAUGCACGAAAGCGUGGGGAGCAAACAGG